UUCUAGUGGUGGGAACAAUUAUGAUCUAGUCUCCUAGCAAGCUUAAUGUUUAUAACACAGUUUUGUGGUCUAUAAUCACUGUACUAUAUAUUAUGGCUCUG
Non-coding RNA from Ceratotherium simum simum (southern white rhinoceros), 101 nucleotides. Lineage: Eukaryota; Metazoa; Chordata; Mammalia; Perissodactyla; Rhinocerotidae. The record is from RefSeq and is a predicted model, not a curated record.